This is a long non-coding RNA of Scophthalmus maximus (turbot), 2944 nucleotides long. RefSeq lists it as uncharacterized. Lineage: Eukaryota; Metazoa; Chordata; Actinopteri; Pleuronectiformes; Scophthalmidae. The transcript is spliced from 3 exons. The record is from RefSeq and is a predicted model, not a curated record.
GAAUGCUUCUUCGCAGCUGGCUUUCAAGUCACCGGGGCACUUUGAUGAAUGCUAGGGAACUCCAGCUUUUUUAUUGUUCAUAUUCUUUUACCAGUACGUGUAUUCAGCAGCUCUGCCUGAUACAUCUGUCAAUUAUCUCAUGUCAAUGUCUCGUUAUGAAAAUUGCAGCAAGAUAAGAGAGGCCAUUUAAAGGCUUCUGUCGUCACAGGGCUUCCUGUGCUCCACCGCUCUGUGAUCCGUCGCUCCGUUGCAAACAUGAACGUGAAAUCCUUCGUCCCAUGGAAGUGAGAAAAAUCCGAUGGGAAACCAAUCUGCCUCCUCGCAGAGAACGAGGAGGCAGCUAACGGAGGCUCUGGUAAUGGAGACGGGGAGUGAAAGAGGGGAGGCCGAGGCAACAGAGAUCAGUGUUUGCGACGGAGAGACGGAGGAAAUGAAAACGGGACCCAGAAUGAGAAUGAGGCGGGAAGACGGAGUGACUUGUGUUAAUCAAGUGCCAUCAGCUUUAUCAGCUCUGUUGUUCUAGAGUGCACACAUCGAGUUCUGCCCGGCAGUGAUGUGGUUCCCAGCCCCUCUCACUGUACAGAUUACAGACAGCUGGAUAUGAUCCAGCCACCCUCUGCAUCCUUCCUCCUUCAAAGCCAGCGAUUGUCGGCUGACCUUCCACCUGUGCUGUCCUCCACGCCACACUGAGCCUACAAGCCGAGCUGUAGCAUGUAACCCAUGCAAAAUGUGCCUAUAAACUUCAAGUGCCCAAAAAUACAGCUAGCAACGAUGCCCUGUUUUAUGAUGUGGUAACCUCUAGUGCUCAGCAGGAGUGGUCAGCAUCAAGAGCAGCAAGAAACAUGACCAGAAAUUCUUAUCAAGUUCCCCAAGUCCCCCGUCUUUAUUGGGAAAGCUGGGCUCAACCUUUGAUGGUUAAACCCCCUAACCUCACUGCUUCGAUGGUAUCAUUUUACAGGCCAAAGGUCAAAAACGAUGCUGUUACCUUUCAGAGCCACCAAAGCUUUAAUGGUCUUGCACAAAAUUUCAACCUGCUAUCUGCCAGUGAGGACACACUAUUUCAAAAAAAAAAUUUAAGUAUGUUUUAAUCAUUAAUCAUAGCAUUAUCAGUAUCUCCCGUGUUUUCAUAUACUUAAUUACACUCUGUUCCCUGCUGUUGUAAUGACCCAGUUUUCCCACAAGAAUGAUUAGUUUCACCUUAGUCAUUAACUGUCUUUCUCUUGUGUCUAAUCUCUCCGCGCCCAUGUCCCCUUGCAGAAGUACCCUUAUUGCUAAGGUGAUGUGGUGUACAGUACUGACACCAUUGCCGUGUUGACCUUUUAAUGACCUUUGAACAAUGAUUCAUACCUAUAAACUAUGUGAGGAUGAACUGGAAAUUAACCGAGACCUCAAAAAUUGUUUGCCUGUAGAGCUACAUCAAGGAAACAUGCCAGCCAUUUGUUACAGAUUACAGUUACACAGCAAGAAAACGACGAGAAAAUAAGUAUUGUAUGGAUCAGCUAAUAUGAGAAUAUCAAUACAAUGGACUGUAUUAUAACUCGUAUUAGACCCACAUGUCACUGCAAAUAUCAUGACAUAUGAGUAUGUAAUGUAAAUCUUUAAAUAAUUAUAGAAAUUUGAUAUUUUUUGUAAUUGUUUUCAUGCAACAACAACGCAGACAGGAUGUUAAAUGUUUUAUUACAUGAAAACAAAAAUAGAUCAGGAUUUGGCACAUUGUAUUUCCCACUCGUCUGCUCUGGACUUGUUGCAGUGUUUCAAACACACGCUGUGAAUAUGAGAGCUAAACUGAUGAUGGGUGCUCACACGUAGGACCUCUGUGUGUUAGUUCUACCAUGAGUGAAAACACUACCAAGCUGGUUUUAUCUUUUCCUAUUUCAUUUUAGCAAUUAAAUGAGUGUAUGUUAGUUUCGACCAGUGGAUCUGAAAGUCCUAGCCGGGCGUAGCCACCCUAAUACUCAAAUGCGUAUUAGUCUCGGAACGCUCGGUUACUUUAAGUCAAAUGCUCUUUACAAAAGUCGCUUCCCUCCGUGUCAUGGUAUAAACCCUGCCUAUUAUCAGAGAAGCCGUAAUGAUUGGACUGGGAAGUUUUCUGCUGGAGGGAAAUCACUUCCCAAUGGAGGGGAUCCAGACCGUAUUCUGGCAGAGCAAAUUUCAAUGAGCGCCCAGAAUUCUUCUGGGUCCCAGGAAGUGAAACUCGGGACGGAUUACGCUCCUUUAACAACUGUCGGUUUACAGCUCAGACAGAUUUUUCUGAUGAGUACCUGUGAUACUGCUUCAGACCUGCUUCACAGCUCUAACAUUGAUGAAUCAGACAGUUACCAGACACACAAACACACGGAUGUGUUGCUCUGCUGUUGUAGAUUAGCUGUUGUAAAAGCACGUCCAUUUCCCACCUGAUGGAAACCUUUUGUUGACCAGUGCAGGAACAAACAUCUACUUUGCCAACUUUGACACCAAACCAUGUUAGAUCCACAGCCUCUAGGCUACUGAACUGAUCAUGUCAGCUCAAAUAGUUGGCUCGCUCAUGAGAGAUGUCAGAACAAGGAAAAAAUGAUUUACAUGUGUCACACACAUUAUGGUUGGUCAGUGUCAGUGUUUGUGGUCAUGAACGGAUUGGGGGCCUUCAGACAGAACACUCGCCUGUCAGAUAAAACAGUUUGUGCUUUAACUGCAAAAGUUUCCAUUGCCAUGUGUCUUUCUUAAUCACACUCUGUCAUAGCUGUUAUCGUUUCAGUGUGUUCGAGCCGAGUGUCACCUUCAACAGUUUGCCUUAAGUACUGUGCUUACACACAGGCUGAACAGAUACACAAUGUUAGAUGCAAAUAAUGUGACUGAAAGCAAGAAGUUUUUGUAUUUAACUAUCAUCAUCAUCAUAGUCUUUUGAACUGAUAUUAGCACAGGCUCCUACAAUCACCAUUACCAUGACGACCACAACCGUUUGCAC